GAGUGAACGCUGGCGGCGUGCCUAAUACAUGCAAGUCGAACGGAGAUUAAGUAGCUUGCUAUUUAAUCUUAGUGGCGCACGGGUGAGUAAUAUAUAGCUAAUCUGCCCUACACUAGAGGACAACAGUUGGAAACGACUGCUAAUACUCUAUACUCCUUCUUUACAUAAGUUAAGUCGGGAAAGUUUUUCGGUGUAGGAUGAGGCUAUAUCGUAUCAGCUAGUUGGUAGGGUAACGGCCUACCAAGGCUAUGACGCGUAACUGGUCUGAGAGGAUGAUCAGUCACACUGGAACUGAGACACGGUCCAGACUCCUACGGGAGGCAGCAGUAGGGAAUAUUGCUCAAUGGGGGAAACCCUGAAGCAGCAACGCCGCGUGGAGGAUGACACUUUUCGGAGCGUAAACUCCUUUUCUUGGGAAAGAAUUAUGACGGUACCCAAGGAAUAAGCACCGGCUAACUCCGUGCCAGCAGCCGCGGUAAUACGGAGGGUGCAAGCGUUACUCGGAAUCACUGGGCGUAAAGGACGCGUAGGCGGAUUAUCAAGUCUCUUGUGAAAUCUAACGGCUUAACCGUUAAACUGCUUGGGAAACUGAUAAUCUAGAGUAAGGGAGAGGCAGAUGGAAUUCUUGGUGUAGGGGUAAAAUCCGUAGAGAUCAAGAAGAAUACCCAUUGCGAAAGCGAUCUGCUGGAACUUAACUGACGCUAAUGCGUGAAAGCGUGGGGAGCAAACAGGAUUAGAUACCCUGGUAGUCCACGCCCUAAACGAUGUAUACUAGUCGUUGCUUCGCUAGUCGAGGCAGUAAUGCACCUAACGGAUUAAGUAUACCGCCUGGGGAGUACGGUCGCAAGAUUAAAACUCAAAGGAAUAGACGGGGAC
This 876-nucleotide ribosomal RNA is filed under the name uncultured Campylobacter sp. Its description in RNAcentral is "bacterial SSU rRNA". It matches the Rfam family "Bacterial small subunit ribosomal RNA", at positions 27 to 920 of the family's 1533-position model. The record is from RNAcentral. Lineage: Bacteria; Pseudomonadati; Campylobacterota; Epsilonproteobacteria; Campylobacterales; Campylobacteraceae.